GCUAGAUCGGCUGGCGGAGAUCUCCUGCGUUCGGAGUAACCAAAGCUAAGCGUGUUUGACAUGAAGUAUUAGCUUCUUCUCCAGCUACUUCAACUGUGGUUUCAACUCGAAUCAAUCAUUGAAUCGCAUUUAAUCAAUGUUUAAGAACUGAAGUUUGUUCUAAACCGAUAUUGCUGAAUUCUGUGUUGUAUGUAGUAUGGAUUUCGGACUUACAGUUUAAAUCAAUCGAUAUUUAUCAAGAGAGGGAUUCUUUAGUUACAUUACUAUUAUUAGAUACAACCACCGCAUCUUUGGACCACCAGUGAGUUGUAACCAACUUGCUGGCAUCUGAGCCGAUUGAGGGGGAAGGAAAAGGAAAGAUUAACUCGGUCAGAUAGCAUGACAUGGUGGCCACCAUUACCAUCAGCAUUAACAUUAUCACCAUUACCGCACCUCAAAUCCGAAACCAAGUCCCAGGCCAUCAGAAUAAUCCAUUCCGAGGGUUACACGCGGUGCAGUCUAAAUGCCAAGCAAGAAAUCAAGGCAAAAACGAGCAGAAUGAAAAAAACCAGCGGAAAAACCAGAGUCAAAUGCAGAGAAUAAACAAAAGGGAAACAUCGCCCCCCGAACAACUCGCUGGUUAAACAACAAUUGCAGGGCAAAAAGCAUCUGGGCACACAUGUGCCACCAAAUUAUUCACACCUCCUCCACAUACCCACACCAUCCACCCACCUCGAAGUUCUCUCAGCAACUUAACCACGCCCACCCUCUAUAAUUUUCCCCAUUAUUUCUUUACUUUUUUUUUCGGCUCCACCACCAACUCCAGUUUCAACUCUGAACACUGAACAUCGCAUUAUUAUUUUAAUUACACACAAAAAACAACUGAACAACAAUCACAUAUGCACAAACAUAACAUUUUAACAGAUCGGCUCAAAAUAUUAGAGACGCUGCUUCGAAAUUGCUUAGGCUAAUGCAUCAUCACAAAUCCUUAUUUGCUCAAAUAGAAGAUUGCAUAAUUAAAAAUGGCCCUUUUCUUGUUUUCAACUAUUUAACCAUAACCAUUAGACAUUGGGCAACGUAUUACCUACUUUUCUCACCGCCACUG
Molecule: long non-coding RNA, 1084 nt
Organism: Drosophila mauritiana
Lineage: Eukaryota; Metazoa; Arthropoda; Insecta; Diptera; Drosophilidae
Exons: 4
Source: RefSeq, a predicted model, not a curated record